GACGAACGCUGGCGGCGUGCCUAAUACAUGCAAGUCGAACGAGAGCGACCGGUGCUUGCACUGGUCAAUCUAGUGGCGAACGGGUGAGUAACACGUGGGUAACCUGCCCAUCAGAGGGGGAUAACAUUCGGAAACGGAUGCUAAAACCGCAUAGGUUCUUGAGUCGCAUGACUGAAGAAGGAAAAGAGGCUUCGGCUUCUGCUGAUGGAUGGACCCGCGGUGCAUUAGCUAGUUGGUGAGGUAACGGCUCACCAAGGCCGUGAUGCAUAGCCGACCUGAGAGGGUGAUCGGCCACAUUGGGACUGAGACACGGCCCAAACUCCUACGGGAGGCAGCAGUAGGGAAUCUUCCGCAAUGGACGCAAGUCUGACGGAGCAACGCCGCGUGAGUGAAGAAGGAUUUCGGUUCGUAAAACUCUGUUGUUAGAGAAGAACAGCGCAUAGAGUAACUGUUAUGCGUGUGACGGAUCUAA
This 472-nucleotide ribosomal RNA is filed under the name Granulicatella elegans. RNAcentral describes it as "bacterial SSU rRNA". It matches the Rfam family "Bacterial small subunit ribosomal RNA", at positions 28 to 482 of the family's 1533-position model. Lineage: Bacteria; Bacillati; Bacillota; Bacilli; Lactobacillales; Carnobacteriaceae. The record is from RNAcentral.